RNAcentral lists this ribosomal RNA (187 nucleotides) under uncultured Candida. Its description in RNAcentral is "partial 26S ribosomal RNA". It matches the Rfam family "Eukaryotic large subunit ribosomal RNA", at positions 62 to 261 of the family's 3401-position model. Lineage: Eukaryota; Fungi; Ascomycota; Saccharomycetes; Saccharomycetales. The record is from RNAcentral.
AAGCCAACAGGGAUUGCCUCAGUAACGGCGAGUGAAGCGGCAAAAGCUCAAAUUUGAAAUCCCUCGGGAGUUGUAAUUUGAAGGAGGUAGGCUACGCGCGGCAACGGCCCAAGUCCAUUGGAACAUGGCGCCAGGGAGGGUGAGAGCCCCGUCCGGCCACGCGCCGCGUCCGCAGUCUGCCCCCGAC